AGAGAGAGAAGGAAAGAGAGAGAAGGAAAGAGAGAGAGAGAGACAGAGAAGGAAAGAGAGAGAAGGAAAGAGAGAGAGAGAAGGAAAGAGAGAGAAGGAAAGAGAGAGAAAGAAGGAAAGAGAGAGAGAGAGAAGGAAAGAGAGAGAGAGGAGAGAGAAAGAGAGAAGGAAAGAGAGAGAAGGAAAGAGAGAGAGAGAAGGAAAGAGAGAGAGAGAAGGAAAGAGAGAAGGAAAGAGAGAAGGAAAGAGAGAAGGAAAGAGAGAGAAGGAAAGAGAGAGAAGGAAAGAGAGAGAGAGAAGGAAAGAGAGAGAGAGAGAGAGAGAAGGACGUCCUGCAUGG
Molecule: long non-coding RNA, 340 nt
Organism: Oncorhynchus tshawytscha (Chinook salmon)
Lineage: Eukaryota; Metazoa; Chordata; Actinopteri; Salmoniformes; Salmonidae
Source: Ensembl